This 254-nucleotide ribosomal RNA is filed under the name uncultured bacterium. RNAcentral describes it as "partial 16S ribosomal RNA". It matches the Rfam family "Bacterial small subunit ribosomal RNA", at positions 524 to 776 of the family's 1533-position model. The record is from RNAcentral.
GACAGAGGGUGCUAGCGUUGUUCGGAAUUACUGGGCGUAAAGGGCGCGUAGGCGGUCAGCACAAGUCAGUUGUGAAAUCUCCGGGCUUAACUCGGAAAGGUCAACUGAUACUGUGCGACUAGAGUGCAGAAGGGGCAACUGGAAUUCUCGGUGUAGCGGUGAAAUGCGCAGAUAUCAGGAGGAACACCGGUGGCGAAGGCGGUUCUCUGGGCAUUACCUGACGCUGAGGAGCGAAAGUGUGGGGAGCGAACAGG